UACCAUUCAGAAAAUGGUUAUUAUAUAGAGCCUGAUGGGGUUUUGCCUUGGGAGGUUCAUGGAUGCAUUUUGUCCCUUAAGAGACAUGCCUGCUCAUGCAGGGCAGUUCUGGGCUGGAAGAGUUCAGUGAAACCUUCCCUGCCACAGCACCAAGGGGCCUCUUUGUUAGUGGAUGAUUAGUGUUGAUUAGCAGGGUGAUGACAACCCUAAUUAGACUCUGAGGAAACCUGAGGAGCAAAACUUUGCAGCUGAGUUACAAAGCUGGACUAAUUAGGAGGGCACUGCAGCACAUUAGGACAGUACUCUGCUGUCUGGGUAAAAAUGGCUGCUUGCUGCUGUAGCUCCUGAUUUGUGUGGUUUUUAAUGAAGAUGUUCUUAAUGAGGAACAAAAUUUUCCUCCUGUAGGGAUUUCCUUGGUUUUGGGAGGAGAAGGACAGCAGAUGUCAGAAGAUGCAGCCAACCCUACCUGCGUGUGCUCUGCUCCUAUGGCUGGCAUGACAGAGAAGUUCAGCAGAAUGAACGCUAGCAAGCCAGUGAUUAAGUGCUCUCAAGAGAUCUAAAUAAGGUGCCAGUGUUUCCGCAGCUUACCAAAUAAGAAGCCUGAGCCUUGGUGACUGAGACGGGUCGUCUUCCUUUCUGUCAGUGAAACCUCAAUGUCAGGAAGAUGGAAUGCCUCUGGGCCAGGUUCUGGUUUAUGUGACAAUGGGAGCUCUGGAAUCAGAAAAGCUCUGCUUGAAUAUGACAUUUGUCCUUUAAUUAUCUUAAAUGGUGACUAUAAGUCUCUGUGUAUAUCAUAGGGCAGUGUUAUUUAAAAUUCAAAUAACGGAAUUCUGCUGAGUGCAAU
Molecule: long non-coding RNA, 844 nt
Filed under: Phasianus colchicus (ring-necked pheasant)
Lineage: Eukaryota; Metazoa; Chordata; Aves; Galliformes; Phasianidae
Description: lncRNA (ENSPCLG00000009850.1)
Source: RNAcentral